Hydra vulgaris (swiftwater hydra) is the source of this 820-nucleotide long non-coding RNA. RefSeq lists it as uncharacterized. Lineage: Eukaryota; Metazoa; Cnidaria; Hydrozoa; Anthoathecata; Hydridae. The record is from RefSeq and is a predicted model, not a curated record.
GUAAGUUGGUAAUCAUGGCGGAUAUGUUUUGAAAAAAAACUGUUCCAAAUGCUAUUGAUUUCUAUUGACAUUCAUAACAUUAACUAUUGACAUUCAUAACAUUAAAUGUUUCGAAAAAAUUUUUUUACGAAACCAAAUGGUUUGAAUAUCUCACCAGUUUAAUUUCGUAGUUAAACUUUUGGCUUGAAAAUGCCCUGAUAUAAAUGUUUUUAUGCCAUAUUUUAAAAUGGAUCAAGGUUUUGACAAAACUUUUGUAGCUUCAAGGGUUGUUCACGAAAGCCAACGUUGAAAUUUCGAUUAAAAAAGAAAGUUUUCGAAACUCUAUUUUCGUUUUGAUUCUUAUUGGAAUGCUUUCUUCCAUUAAAUUUUUGAAUAUCAUUCUCUGCUCUCUGACGUUCCGGAAAUCAAAGGACUGGUUUAAAAUUUCUGCUAUAUUAUCUUCUACGUCAUCGUUACGACGUUUGAUAAUGACUUUUUUCCCCUUAAUCAAACACUGCAUGAAGCUUAGUUCCAGGCGGUUGCAAAUUUUCAUUAUUUCGUAAAUAAAGCAGUUUUCCUUAUUAACAUUAGAUAUUUGAGUUAAAAUCAAGGAAAAACAAGUCGGAUUGCUCAGUAAUCUGAUAAACAGAUUCAAUUUGUUUUGAACGAAGAUGGUAGAUACGUCAUCGAUUUUAAAGUAGGAAUCCAGAAAUUUUAAUGCUGAUCUUCCAACAGCGUCUAAUUUAUUAAGAAAAGUAUUGCUUUUGUUUGUUGCUUGACAAAUUUUAUUUAGCGGAUAACGCAUUUUUUUAUGAUAUUUUAUUGAAAUUUUUAUUUUGUA